AAUGUGGAAAUAGGGAAAGGGUCUGAAUACUUUCCGAAUGCGUUGUAUGUGAGAAUGCUGUUCAUUGAGAACAGCUCAGCAGAGGUAGAGAGAAUGGUGACAUGAAGUGGUUUCUGUCCUUUUUCAUAGUUGUAUAAUUUGUAAAUGUUGAAAUCAAUGGUUUUUGUUUGGCAUACAUUUUAAAGUGAAUAAUCUGAGUCAAAACGUAAUUCCGUUAACCUGGAAUUGCUCAUAUCUGUCUAUUUAGGAUUUUAGAAACAUGUAGAAGGAGAUCCCUAUAUUGAAUCGAACUUUUCCAAGCAAAUCCAUUAAGGAUUGGUCAGUCAACUUUGGUACUGUGUGUCUUGUUUGAUACAGGGAGGCAGUGAUGAUGAGAGGAAACACUGCAAGCUACUGGAGGCUAUCAGCUCACUUGGGGGGGGGGGAAAGGUCAGAACUGAUCAUGUUUUAAUGGUACAUUCCUAGAUAAGUGGGGCUUCUGGAGUUGUAUAAGAUGUUAGAUUCUAAAUGAACAGAGUAAAACUCACGGACGACUAGUAAAGCUCAAACCAAGUUUAUUCAACCACUGGGUCAUUCAGCUGUAUAAGACAAAGACAUGUUUACACAAGCACAAGUAUUUAUACCCCCCUUUAGGCUUUUGUCUCCUCCUUUUCUCUAAACACUACAUCUCUGUUGCUAGGCAGGAAGUUAUGUGAUGUGGGUAAUAAAACUGUUCCUUCUCCUUUCAUGGGACUUGACCUGACCUGACCUCGGCCCACAUUCCUCACUAAUCUUCAGCUAUCCACCCUUAUCAGUGACCACAACCACGUGAUUGCCUUUUUCCUUACUUAGUAACUUUCCAAACCCCUGGAUCUUAUCCACCCUCAAUUAAACCCACCAUAUACAUUCCUCCUACAUAUAACCAUUAACUUCUGGUGUAACAAGUAUUUCAAAUUACAACCUAACAAAGAGAAAUGCAGACCGGAGGACUUAGCCUACCAAUUGAAUGAAAUCAACAGCAUGUAAUGUAACAUUUUUUAUUUGUGUUGCUUUUGUGGUCAUGUAUGUUUGAUCAGUUUUUGUGUCAAUGUGCAUUAUUCAUACUAUUAGGAAGAAGCUUACUGAACGGUCUGAAGAAAGCAUUGAGGUGUCAGAAUUCACAGUCAAAGGUCAAUUAAACUAAAUGUACCCGGUUUACUUUUUUCAAAAUCCCUUGUGCUUUUAUCAAGAUAGUUUGACAGUUCAAGUAGUGAAAAGUGUAGCUAAAUGUCUAACAAAAUCCAGGAACAUGUGAUUUGACAGUCUGAACUGUAUGUCUGUCUGCGUGUCAUGACAGACAGGUAAAAGAGACAAAAUCAAUUUGUUUAACCUCAUUGGAACAUUGGGUAAGACCCCCAGUGCCUUAAUGAAGAUGAAGAAGCAGCUGAAGAACCUUCAACACAACCAGAGCACCCUGGAAACACCCCUGACCAGGAAGUAGACAGAACGGAUCCAAAGAGAAGUGGCUUUUGAGAAAACGUCAAAAGAGGUGUCCUGCUGGCAGAGUGUGGUCCUACAGAACCAGAAGGCAUAGCAGCUGGUCUUCCCACUGAACCAGGAGCCCUCUGGCCCAAAACACAUAGAGCAGGUGGUGGCUGGAUGGACGGACCCAAACCUUCCCAGAACAAGAGAUAUUCAGCCUCCUGCACAUGAACAAGCAGCCUCUCCAUGACCCUGUUCUGGCACCCACUGAGGAGGCUUCUCUGAGGGCCAUGAGUCUGGAGGGAGUCCCACCUCAAGCAUCCAGCAUGGGGUCAUAUGCAUAGGAUAAGCUACAUCUGGUGUGUUAGUGCUGGGCAAGGGCAAAGACCUGCACACACUACUGCCCUUGACUUUAUUUUGUAUGUGCACUAAAAGGACAAUGUACUGGAAAAACAACAAUGCACAAAGGUUUUCUAGAUGGUUAUUGAUGGUCUCACUUACCUACAACCAUGCAGAUCUCCAAAAAGCCAGAGCUCUAUAGUUUUAUCAUGAAGCGAAAGUCAAAAGGGAAAUAAAAAUUAAAAACCGGGGCAUAUCCUUCCAAUAUAGUGUACAGUUGACCAGGGCAUAUCCUUGCAUGAGUGACUCAGCAGUAAUCCGCUUCCAAAGAUCAUCUCUUUAUUCAAGGCUCCCAAUUCACUCUCUUCCUCCACCUGCCCUCUUUGUACAUAGUGCCGGAUUAUUAUUUUAAGCCCCUUUUCUCCCCAAUUUCAUGAUUACGAUCUUGUCUCAUCGCUGCAGCUCCUCAACGACCAAACUACAGAGGCAUGCUUUUGGCGGCCCGAUCGGCAGCCAGCACUAAUGCUUUAGGAAGUUGGCAACUUGUCCUACAGAUUCCAAAUUCCUGCAGGUACGUUAUUUGCUUCCUGUGUGAACUCAGCCCAAAUGUUCAGGGAAUGCGCAAGGUGUCAUCACCCAUGCCCCAAUACUAACUUGUUUACCUGGAUGCAUGCCACCCAACACCACCAGCACGGUUUAAUUUAUGUUAGAACUUAAGAACACCAAAUCUAAUAUUUCAACCUUUGUGAAUCUAUGAAACUAGAUGAUCCAUUUUUGUCUGCACUUAUUACACAAAUGAUAUGAAAUGUCAUUGAAUGUAAUGUAUGAUAAGAAUUCAAAGAAAAUAAAUACAUUUACCAUUAAAUGAUAAUGAUAUGACAAAUUAUAACAAGUGUGUAAAUAAAUCUGUUUCCCUCACACAGCUUGAAUAACAGCACUGAAAGGCAAGCUUUCAUUAAUCUGCAUUGCCCUUUUUUCAGAGCCAGUGGAGGCUCCUCA
Oncorhynchus kisutch (coho salmon) is the source of this 2778-nucleotide long non-coding RNA. RefSeq lists it as uncharacterized. The transcript has 3 exons. The record is from RefSeq and is a predicted model, not a curated record. Lineage: Eukaryota; Metazoa; Chordata; Actinopteri; Salmoniformes; Salmonidae.